AAUGAGUUCAGAUUUGAGCAUAAGUAAUAGUACACUUCCAAUGAUAUCAGAGUUAGAUUCCCAGCUACGAGAGCUUUCUAGUCAUGUGCGUAUAAACUUCCAAUAAGCAGCAAGUCGCAAGAAAGCAACGAACUUCUCGGUGCCAUCCAUGCCUUCCAAGGAUACAGGUCCAGCACUCUUCUUAACUUUAUACAUAUUAUAAAACUACAAGAUUCUAUUUCAAAAUCUGUUGGAAAAUUAAUAAUCACUAGGGUUGGAGAAGAAACCAAAAAAUUAAAAUUUGAGAAGAUGAAAGAUGAACAAGAAGAUCAAACCAAUAUGAAGACUCAAACACGAAAAUAAUCUCGCUGUUCUCGAGCGAUAUUUGCCCCCUCUCCGGAUUAUACGAGAUGCUUCAAGGGUUUUACGAUAAAUGGUUCGUAGGAUUGAUCAAGCCUUGUUGCAAAAAACACUAAAGCAUAAAUGAUUUUCUACCUGAACUUGAAGAACACAAGAGGGAAUUGCUUGAAUAUGAAAAUAGAAAGAAUGUUUUCUUGUGGAAUGUAAAAUCAGUUUCUUAUAUGAUUUUUCAAUAUAUGUUUUGAUCCUUCAACACCUAUUUAUAGAUGUUAAUCAAUACCUCACAAAUUGGUGCCAAAAGUCAUGAAGAGAUGCAAAAUUCCCUCUAAAAGCCACCAAAAAAUUAACUGAAAAAUAGCCUCCAACAGUCACUUUAAAUGUA
RNAcentral lists this long non-coding RNA (721 nucleotides) under Olea europaea subsp. europaea. The record is from RNAcentral. Lineage: Eukaryota; Viridiplantae; Streptophyta; Magnoliopsida; Lamiales; Oleaceae.